UGGGGAAUUUUGGACAAUGGGCGAAAGCCUGAUCCAGCAAUGCCGCGUGUGUGAAGAAGGCCUUCGGGUUGUAAAGCACUUUUGUCCGGAAAGAAAUCCUUGGCUCUAAUACAGUCGGGGGAUGACGGUACCGGAAGAAUAAGCACCGGCUAACUACGUGCCAGCAGCCGCGGUAAUACGUAGGGUGCAAGCGUUAAUCGGAAUUACUGGGCGUAAAGCGUGCGCAGGCGGUUUGCUAAGACCGAUGUGAAAUCCCCGGGCUCAACCUGGGAACUGCAUUGGUGACUGCAAGGCUAGAGUAUGGCAGAGGGGGUAGAAUUCCACGUGUAGCAGUGAAAUGCGUAGAGAUGUGGAGGAAUACCGAUGGCGAAGGCAGCCCCUGGGCCAAUACUGACGCUCAUGCACGAAAGCGUGGGGAGCAAACAGGAUUAGAUACCCUGGUAGUCCACGCCCUAAACGAUGUCAACUAGUUGUUGGGGAUUCAUUUCCUAGUACGUAGCUAACGCGUGAAGUUGACCGCCUGGGGAGUACGGUCGCAAGAUU
RNAcentral lists this ribosomal RNA (543 nucleotides) under uncultured bacterium. RNAcentral's name for it is "partial 16S ribosomal RNA". It matches the Rfam family "Bacterial small subunit ribosomal RNA", at positions 355 to 895 of the family's 1533-position model. The record is from RNAcentral.